Thalassophryne amazonica is the source of this 103-nucleotide long non-coding RNA. RefSeq lists it as uncharacterized. The record is from RefSeq and is a predicted model, not a curated record. Lineage: Eukaryota; Metazoa; Chordata; Actinopteri; Batrachoidiformes; Batrachoididae. The transcript is spliced from 4 exons.
GCCAGAAUAUCCAAACACAAUGGUCUCAGUUUUACCAUCAUUCAGGUAAAGGACAUUUUGGGACAGCCACUGCUUUCCAACAUGAAAACCUUUUUAAAUAAUG